RNAcentral lists this ribosomal RNA (253 nucleotides) under uncultured bacterium. RNAcentral's name for it is "partial 16S ribosomal RNA". It matches the Rfam family "Bacterial small subunit ribosomal RNA", at positions 524 to 776 of the family's 1533-position model. The record is from RNAcentral.
UACGUAGGUGGCAAGCGUUGUCCGGAUUUACUGGGUGUAAAGGGCGUGUAGCCGGGCUGACAAGUCAGAUGUGAAAUUCCGGGGCUCAACCCCGGACCUGCAUUUGAAACUGUUGGUCUUGAGUAUCGGAGAGGCAGGCGGAAUUCCUAGUGUAGCGGUGAAAUGCGUAGAUAUCAGGAGGAACACCAGUGGCGAAGGCGGCCUGCUGGACGACAACUGACGGUGAGGCGCGAAAGCGUGGGGAGCAAACAGG